RNAcentral lists this unclassified non-coding RNA (284 nucleotides) under Hevea brasiliensis (rubber tree). The record is from RNAcentral. Lineage: Eukaryota; Viridiplantae; Streptophyta; Magnoliopsida; Malpighiales; Euphorbiaceae.
CGUGAAAUGGGUGUAUAAUGAUAAGGAUCGUAGAGAUUGUAAGAGCAGGUUUGUUUACACAAAACUCUUGUCAGUGCUCAGGAAGGAAAGAAGGCCCCAAGAAGCACUUCGCAUUUUUAAUUUGAUGCGUGAAGACUACAAUAUAUAUCCUGACAUGGCCGCAUAUCAUAUCAUUGCUGUUACACUUGGUCAAGCUGGCCUUCUCAAAGAGCUGGUUAAAAUUAUUGAAUGUCUGAGGCAGAAACCUUCUAAAAGAAUUAAUCAUAUGCACUUCAAGAACUGGG